This 1038-nucleotide ribosomal RNA is filed under the name uncultured archaeon. Its description in RNAcentral is "bacterial SSU rRNA". It matches the Rfam family "Archaeal small subunit ribosomal RNA", at positions 156 to 1191 of the family's 1478-position model. The record is from RNAcentral.
AUAGAUAUUCAAUGAAGGAAGGCUUGGAUAUUGAAAGCGCAAGCGCCAGAGGGUGAGUCUGCGGCCUAUCAGGUAGUAGGUGGUGUAACGGACCACCUAGCCUAAGACGGGUACGGGCCUUGAGAGAGGGAGCCCGGAGAUGGGUUCUGAGACACGAACCCAGGCCCUACGGGGCGCAGCAGGCGCGAAACCUUCGCACUGCGCGAAAGCGCGACGAGGGGAACCCGAGUGCCUCUCCAUUUCGGGGAGGCUUUUCACAAGCCUAAAAAGCUUGUGGAAUAAGGGCUGGGCAAGACGGGUGCCAGCCGCCGCGGUAAUACCCGCAGCUCGAGUGGUGGUCGCUUUUAUUGAGCCUAAAACGUUCGUAGUCGGCCUUGUAAAUCCCUGGGUAAAUUGGGCCGCUUAACGGUUCAAAUUCCGGGGAGACUGCAAGGCUAGGGACCGGGCGAGGUCAGAGGUACUUUCGGGGUAGGGGUGAAAUCCUGUAAUCCCGAAGGGACCACCUGUGGCGAAAGCGUCUGACUUGAACGGCUCCGACGAUGAGGAACGAAGGCUAAGGGAGCAAACCGGAUUAGAUACCCGGGUAGUCCUAGCUGUAAACUCUGCCCGCUUGGUGUGGCCUGUCCUUCGGGGGCAGGCCGUGCCGGAGCGAAGGUGUUAAGCGGGCUGCUUGGGGAGUACGGCCGCAAGGUUGGAACUUAAAGGAAUUGGCGGGGGAGCACCGCAACGGGAGGAUGCGUGCGGUUUAAUUGGAUUCAACGCCGGAAAACUCACCUGAGGAGACCAGCGUAUGUGGGUCAAGCCGAAGACUUUACCCGAACAACAGCUGGAGAGGUGGUGCAUGGCCAUCGUCAGCUCGUACCGUAGGGCAUUCACUUAAGUGUGAUAACGAGCGAGACCCCCAUCCCUAGUUGCUAACCCCUCCGAAAGGAGGGGUGCACUCUAGGGAGACCGCUUCCGCUAAGGAAGAGGAAGGAGGGGUCGACGGUAGGUCAGUAUGCCCCGAAUCCUCAGGGCAACACGCGCGCUACAAAGGAC